AACACAACAACAACAGAGACAGCAUUGUUAUUGUUUUACAGACUUCCACAAACUACAUGUCUACAUUAAAUCAGUCUCUUACUGUAACUAAUGGCUCAUCAACUGGUAUCUAAAUCAAUGACCACAUAAUGAACCUAGCUCUCCAGGGCCCUGUCCAGAAAAAAAGCCAUGUACUUCCUCCCUAGACACUUGUAGAGAUGUGAGAGGAUAGGCCAGCCAGGUGUACUCCUCUAACUACUAACUACAUUAGUAACUCACCCCAGGUGUACUCCUCUAACUACACUAGUAACUCACCCCAGGUGUACUCCUCUAACUACUAACUACACUAGUAACUCACCCCAGGUGUACUCCUCUAACUACACUAGUAACUCACCCCAGGUGUACUCCUCUAACUACACUAGUAACUCACCCCAGGUGUACUCCUCUAACUACACUAGUAACUCACCCCAGGUGUACUCCUCUAACUACACUAGUAACUCACCCCAGGUGUACUCCUCUAACUACACUAGUAACUCACCCCAGGUGUACUCCUCUAACUACACUAGUAACUCACCCCAGGUGUAGGUCUUCAUAUACUUCAGGUGGCGGAUUCUGCAGGUGUACUCCUCUAACUACACUAGUAACUCACCCCAGGUGUACUCCUCUAACUACACUAGUAACUCACCCCAGGUGUAGGUCUUCAGAUUCUUCAGGUGACGGACUCUACAGGUGUACUCCUCUCCGCUGGCUGGUGUGAAUCCAACACUCUUGGUGAGGUGGAACUGCCAUCCCUGUUCGAAGGCCAGGUCUGUCUGCUUGGCGUCGGGGAUCUCCACGCCGUUCUUCAGGAGCUGGAUGCUGAUGUCAGGGGGGUGGAA
Long non-coding RNA from Oncorhynchus keta (chum salmon), 857 nucleotides. RefSeq lists it as uncharacterized. The record is from RefSeq and is a predicted model, not a curated record. The transcript has 5 exons. Lineage: Eukaryota; Metazoa; Chordata; Actinopteri; Salmoniformes; Salmonidae.